UGGCGCCCGAACGUGGGGCUCAAGACACGGGGUCUUCACCUGGUGGACGCUGCUCGGAAGAUCGGCCGAUCGACUCCAGGACCUCCGCCCAGUCGGCGAGUUGGCCCCGCAUAGCAGUCCGCUCAGACUCACCCAUCUGAGAAAGCGACCUGCGAGGUAAGUGAGCGGCGCAAAAUAUGGGACAACAAUUAAAUAAACAUCAGUUGUUUGUUGAAGGUUUAACAUCUUCCUUACAGAUGCGGGGAGUUCGGGUUACAAAAAAGGAUCUGAUUAAGUUUUUCAAAUUUGUAGAAGAGACUUGUCCUU
Molecule: non-coding RNA, 306 nt
Organism: Fukomys damarensis (Damara mole-rat)
Lineage: Eukaryota; Metazoa; Chordata; Mammalia; Rodentia; Bathyergidae
Source: Rfam